This is a non-coding RNA of Coffea arabica (coffee), 2887 nucleotides long. Lineage: Eukaryota; Viridiplantae; Streptophyta; Magnoliopsida; Gentianales; Rubiaceae. The record is from RefSeq and is a predicted model, not a curated record.
AAAUCUGUCUGUGUUCACCUGCGGCUGCACCCCGUUCUACCAUGGCUGCACCUUCAUGUCCGUUUCACGCAAUCAAGCUCGGUCACUACUAUUCCCCGAACCGACGUCGUUUUCACCUCUUUUCUUCUUUCACUUGCCACCGUAGUAGUUCCGGUCCGACGGAUAACAAACUUACUACGACGUCGCAUGGAACAAGCGUUAAGCAGAAACAAUCACGCCAGCCAAAAUUCUUAGUUAAAUUUCGAGAUGGCGAUUUCUCAAAUAGUGAAAAGGAGCCCGACUUAUCUAAAAAAGGCGUUAGUUUGCCGGAAAGUCGAUGCUUUGAACGGAAAGCGCUAUGGAGAAAGAUUUUAUUCGCAUCGGAGAAAGUGAGGAGCAUUCUCUUGCUCAAUGCCAUCACAAUAAUUUACGCUAGCAAUAUUCCUAUAGUGAAAGAAGUGGAAGCAUUUAUUGAUCCUGGCACAUUCACUAUUGUCAGAUUUGUUUUGUCUGCAAUUGCAUUUUCGCCAUUUGUUUUGAAAGCAAGAGAUGAUGUUCAAACCCGGAAUGCUGGGAUAGAAUUGGGAUUUUGGGUCAGCCUUGGCUACCUUAUGCAAGCCCUUGGAUUGCAGACAUCGGGUGCAGGACGGGCAUCUUUCCUCACAAUGUUCACUCAUUCCAAAAUUUUGGUACAAUUCUUCAGGUGAUUGUGGUUCCUUUGCUUGAUGGUAUCCUAGGAUCGAAGAUCCCUGCACGUAUUUGGUUUGGAGCCCUCAUGUCUAUAGUAGGAGUCGGAAUGCUAGAAUCCAGUGGCUCACCUCCUUGUGUUGGGGACUUGUUGAAUUUCUUAAGUGCCGUAUUUUUUGGGGUUCACAUGCUAAGAACAGAACAUAUUUCUAGAGCUACUACCAAAGAGAACCUCUUACCUCUCCUCGGAUAUGAGGUAUGUGUGGUUGCUUUUUUAUCAACACUCUGGUAUGUCCUUGGAGUUUGUUCUGGUGGCACUCAAGCAUUAAAUCCAUCAUCCUGGACAUGGGGAAAAUUUGCGGAUUGGAUGGUAGCAUUCCCAUGGGUACCUGCAAUUUAUACUGGUGUUGUCUCCACAGGAUUAUGUCUAUGGGUAGAGGUAUGGCCACCUUAAAGUAUUGGUUUUCUACCUUGAGUGUUUACUUGUGAAAGUUCUUCUUUUGCAUGCCUUUGUGCUCAUAUCUUGAGCAACUUUCCAUAUGGUUCCAUCUAUGCAAUCCUGUUCUGUAAUUGUGUGUACUCAUCUAUUUGUUGUAGUCUAAAGUUUGUCUGUUAAACUGAAAAAUAAACUCUUUCCUUGUGUAUUUAAAGGAGGGCUAGAUGGAAAUAAAGGUUUACUGCUAAUCUGAUAAGAAUAGAAGCGGCAAUGGUAUUUUUCCCUGUAUUCAUAAAAGAACCAAAAGUAUUUUAGUAUAUGCAUUAUGUUAAACCUUUUUUUAAUCAGAAAAAAUUACUUGUUAUUUUGCAGUUAGAAAUAUUUUUAGCUCCUGCAUUUUAUUAUGUUACUCUGGUCACAUAAAUAUACAAAGGAGUUUCCUACAUAUUUUCAAAAUUUAGGAACUAGAUGUUUACCUCAGAUGAUAACUUUGUGAGAAGGGGAAGUUAACUGCUGAAAUGACUGGCAAGAAAACUAAGACGAAAAGCAAGGGUUACCUAAAUAAAAGCUGAAUUGGAGAAUGCAGAAUCAGAGGCUUGGGCUAUUCCAGGGCGUGCCAGGUACUGGUUGUUCUUGAGCAUCUUGCCUUGGAAUGUUUCGGUUUGUUAUGUCUUGUCUUUUCAAUCUGUGAUGGUAAUGGUAUCCAAUUCCUUCUCUUUCUUACUCCAUCAAUCAUAUCUGUUGUCUCGUCUAUCAAAACAAGUGCUCUCUGUCUCAGUCCAAGAGUAGAUGAUUCAACCUACCUGUCUAAUAAGAUGUUACUUCCCAUGAUGAGAAACUAUUGAUUUUCUUCUACCACUUCCAUACCACAAUUCUUGUUACAAUUUCUAAUUGGUAGAAAUCAGAAUAAUUCACUACAUGAUUUCUGCUGCAAUAUUAGAUAAUACUAAUAGGUAUGGAAUUUGGUUUGACUGUCUGAAGUGUUUUAGAUGAAUUUUAUUUUAAAGAAAAGACCUUGAUCGUGAACUAUAGUUGCAAAAUUUAGCUUUUUAUUUUUUUCAAUAAAUAAAUCCUUGAAACCAAGACAACCAAUAUAUGCUUAUUUGGUAUUGGUGAUUCUUAAACAAAGAUCAUUGUUCUUCUCUACUUUAAGCAGGUUUUGCUAGCUAGUCUUGAUCUAAUCACCUAGCAUUAUAAUACAGAUUGCGGCCAUGCGAGAUGUUUCAGCCACAGAAACUGCAAUAAUCUAUGGGUUGGAGCCGGUCUGGGGUGCUGCAUUUGCAUGGUUUCUUCUUGGAGAGAGAUGGGGUGUCAAUGGAUGGAUUGGAGCUGCUCUUGUUCUAGGUGGAAGCUUAACAGUACAGAUACAAGGAGCAUCGUCUUCCACUACAUCGCAAAAAGAUGAAAGAAGCAUCGAGAAAAGCGGCGAUCCACCAGAUAAGGAAAACAUGUUGUCUACCCCUUCAGUUCUUGUCAAUUCUAGAAAUGAUUCACGUACCUUAUUAAAGAAGUGAGACUUGUAGCUUGAGCUUGUAUUUUCACACCUGACCCAGAUACACAACAGUUUUGUUGCCGCAUGCGCAAGAGAAUGUUUUAGUAUAGCCGCACUAGAUGGAGAUAUGACCAUUCAACUAAUUAUGUAACAUAAAUAGACAAACACAGGCAUCAACAAAUUGGAAUAUUUAUAUUUUAGAUCUGAUCAACUGAUGUUCCUCUCUAUGUAGAUGAUGGCCAUGCUAUGAAAUGGCAUACUUGCCAUUGAAUUGAACAGUUUGGUUUUGAGCU